UUGGAUAUUUCCAUGGGGCAGAAAGAAACAUAAAGCAGAAAACAGCUUCUCCAGGAGGGGAAGAAGUAAGUGCUUCUAGACUCUGCAGCUGCUUGUUACUCAAGCAGUAAAUCUGAUUCUCAGCUUUCUGGUUGCCAUGGGAAGUAAAGAAACAAAAAGCAGAUUGAAGAAUCUAGCUCGAACUGACUCAAAAGUGGACAAUCCCUGUGGAGUUUCUUUCCUAAAGACAGUGCCUGAGGUGAAAACUGAGCUACUCAAAAUUUCCUCCUUGAAAAAUCCCAGAUCCCUCAAUCACCUACAAAGUCCAAAAUGCAUAGUUUUCUGUAUAAAAAUAUAACAUGUUAUAAAUUCGUAACAUAGGUGGUCACAUAUAGUAUAUGGGUAAAUAGGCAAACUGUAAUUUUACAGUACUGCAUUUGUAAAUGUUCUUUUUUUAAUGGCAAAACUAUGCAAAAUUGCCAAUAUUUGGACAUUUUUAACCUAUGAAAAUGGUAAUUUCAUGUGAUCCAACCUAAUAAAUCACUAUUUUUCUCUUUUGCUUUA
Long non-coding RNA from Galeopterus variegatus (Sunda flying lemur), 543 nucleotides. RefSeq lists it as uncharacterized. Lineage: Eukaryota; Metazoa; Chordata; Mammalia; Dermoptera; Cynocephalidae. The transcript has 2 exons. The record is from RefSeq and is a predicted model, not a curated record.